Molecule: small nucleolar RNA, 107 nt
Organism: Abrus precatorius (Indian licorice)
Lineage: Eukaryota; Viridiplantae; Streptophyta; Magnoliopsida; Fabales; Fabaceae
Source: RefSeq, a predicted model, not a curated record
AAAUCAUGAUGAAGACACCUCUUCAAAAGCUCUCGAAAUCACUCCCAUGCCUCAAACAAGAAUUGUACUUCAUAUUAUUGGAAACAACAUAUCUUUGCCAUAAGCUU